RNAcentral lists this unclassified non-coding RNA (795 nucleotides) under Hevea brasiliensis (rubber tree). The record is from RNAcentral. Lineage: Eukaryota; Viridiplantae; Streptophyta; Magnoliopsida; Malpighiales; Euphorbiaceae.
UGAGUUGAAUUGAGUUGAGUUGAGAUAUUGUCUCCUCUAUGAAUGCGCUAAGAUUGGAAGUGUCAUACUUGAAAGUCACUAUUAAACAAAUCAGACAUAAGGUUGUAGGAAAGAACAAUAAAACUCAAAAUAAUCACAAGAAAUCAUUGAAAAUGGAUACCCCACAAGUGUUCUUGGUGAUCAAAAAGUUUCCACGGAGUUGAAGGGAAAAUUCUACAAGACCAUGAUUCAACAAGCUAUAAUGCAAGACAGUGAAUGUAUGGCUGUUAAAAAACAACAUUUCCAUAAAAUGACCAUCCAGCGAUGAAGAUGCUAAUGGGAAUGAGGCAGGAAAAAGAAAAGGAAACACCAAAAGCCAAACCCAAACCAAUAAAACUGCACCAAAAAUUCAAUUAACCAUCAAAUUCACUUCAGUUUUAGUCAUUCUACUAAAAAUGGUUAAUUGAUCUAAACCAAUACUAUACAUACACAUAUUAACUAUAUAAAAAAUCUGGACUAACAAUAUUAAAUUAAUUAUUGCAAAUAUUUAAUUCUCACUUCAUUUCAGAGUUAUGAAAGGCGCGCCUAAGACAAGAGGUGAUGGAAGCUAGCAGCAGAGCAUCUGGAUCACCAAAAGGCAGGCGACAUUUGGAUGUGCCUUAUGCAUGCAAACCCAAUUAGCCCUAAUAAAGCCAUGAAGCAAGUUGGGAGAGCCAAUGACUGCAAAGAAGAAGAAGCAGAAGAAGAAGUAGCCGAAGCUCUACUGAUGGCUGACAGAAGAGAAGAGCCUGAGAGAGCCUGAGAGAGAAGGAGAAA